GACGAACGCUGGCGGCGUGCUUAACACAUGCAAGUCGAACGGAAAGGCCCUGCUUGCAGGGUCCUCGAGUGGCGAACGGGUGAGUAACACGUGGGUGAUCUGCCCUGCACUUCGGGAUAAGCCUGGGAAACUGGGUCUAAUACCGGAUAGGAGCCAUUUUUAGUGUGAUGGUUGGAAAGUUUUUUCGGUGUAGGAUGAGCUCGCGGCCUAUCAGCUUGUUGGUGGGGUAAUGGCCUACCAAGGCGGCGACGGGUAGCCGGCCUGAGAGGGUGGACGGGCACAUUGGGACUGAGAAACGGCCCAGACUCCUACGGGAGGCAGCAGUGGGGAAUAUUGGACAAUGGGCGCAAGCCUGAUGCAGAGACGCCACGUGGGGGAUGACGGCCUUCGGGUUGUAAACUCCUUUCGCUAGGGACGAAGCUUUUUGUGACGGUACCUAGAGAAGAAGCACCGGCUAACUACGUG
RNAcentral lists this ribosomal RNA (465 nucleotides) under uncultured bacterium. Its description in RNAcentral is "partial 16S ribosomal RNA". It matches the Rfam family "Bacterial small subunit ribosomal RNA", at positions 28 to 507 of the family's 1533-position model. The record is from RNAcentral.